This 351-nucleotide long non-coding RNA is filed under the name Bos taurus (domestic cattle). RNAcentral describes it as "long non-coding RNA NONBTAT015701". The record is from RNAcentral. Lineage: Eukaryota; Metazoa; Chordata; Mammalia; Artiodactyla; Bovidae.
UUUUUUUUUUUUAAGGCAACCUGGUCUUUAUUAUUUCUACCAAAGUUGCUAUAUUCCAAAUCAGCAUAGUUUUUAACAUAUUUUUUUUUGUUACAGGUGAACUGCUUUAGCAGUAUGAGGCAGUCAUUUUAAAAAGCUUUGUUUUCCUACCCAUUUCCACUUUACUUUUAAAAGGCUAUUCUUGGAGGUAGAAAUACAACUGUUGAUGAAAAGAAUGAGAUAAGGAAUAGUUUUUCUCUACAUCUCCUGAGGUGAGGUCCUUCAGCUGUUCUUGAGCACGUCAACCUCGUUCAUCUUCUUUCCUUGACAUCCACAUAAGAGCCAAGGUGUAAAAUUGAUUGGACUGUGAUU